GGAGAGGUGGCCGAGCGGUUUAAGGCACCGGUCUUGAAAACCGGCGUGGGUUAAUAGCCCACCGUGGGUUCGAAUCCCACCCUCUCCGCCA
Molecule: transfer RNA, 91 nt
Filed under: Formicincola oecophyllae
Lineage: Bacteria; Pseudomonadati; Pseudomonadota; Alphaproteobacteria; Acetobacterales; Acetobacteraceae
Description: Swingsia sp. F3b2 tRNA-Ser
Rfam family: tRNA
About the family: Transfer RNA (tRNA) molecules are approximately 80 nucleotides in length. Their secondary structure includes four short double-helical elements and three loops (D, anti-codon, and T loops).
Source: RNAcentral